UGGGGAAUUUUGGACAAUGGGCGAAAGCCUGAUCCAGCAAUGCCGCGUGUGUGAAGAAGGCCUUCGGGUUGUAAAGCACUUUUGUCCGGAAAGAAAUCCUUGGCUCUAAUACAGUCGGGGGAUGACGGUACCGGAAGAAUAAGCACCGGCUAACUACGUGCCAGCAGCCGCGGUAAUACGUAGGGUGCAAGCGUUAAUCGGAAUUACUGGGCGUAAAGCGUGCGCAGGCGGUUUGCUAAGACCGAUGUGAAAUCCCCGGGCUCAACCUGGGAACUGCAUUGGUGACUGGCAGGCUAGAGUAUGGCAGAGGGGGGUAGAAUUCCACGUGUAGCAGUGAAAUGCGUAGAGAUGUGGAGGAAUACCGAUGGCGAAGGCAGCCCCCUGGGCCAAUACUGACGCUCAUGCACGAAAGCGUGGGGAGCAAACAGGAUUAGAUACCCUGGUAGUCCACGCCCUAAAACGAGGUCAACUAGUUGUUGGGGAUUCAUUUCCUUAGUAACGUAGCUAACGCGUGAAGUUGACCGCCUGGGGAGUACGGUCGCAAGAUUAAAACUAAAUGAAUUGACGGGGUCAUAGCUGUUUCCU
RNAcentral lists this ribosomal RNA (585 nucleotides) under uncultured bacterium. RNAcentral's name for it is "partial 16S ribosomal RNA". It matches the Rfam family "Bacterial small subunit ribosomal RNA", at positions 355 to 1375 of the family's 1533-position model. The record is from RNAcentral.